AGUGAACGCUGGCGGUAGGCCUAACACAUGCAAGUCGAACGGCAGCACAGUAAGAGCUUGCUCUUACGGGUGGCGAGUGGCGGACGGGUGAGGAAUACAUCGGAAUCUACUUUUUCGUGGGGGAUAACGUAGGGAAACUUACGCUAAUACCGCAUACGACCUACGGGUGAAAGCAGGGGAUCUUCGGACCUUGCGCGAUUGAAUGAGCCGAUGUCGGAUUAGCUGGUUGGCGGGGUAAAGGCCCACCAAGGCGACGAUUCGUAGCUGGUCUGAGAGGAUGAUAAGCGACACUGGAACUGAGACAGGGACCAGACUCCUACGGGAGGCAGCAGUGGGGAAUAUUGGACAAUGGGCGAAAGCCUGGUCCAGCCAUACCGCGUGGGUGAAGAAGGCCUUCGGGUUGUAAAGCCCUUUUGUUGGGAAAGAAAAGCAGCAUGUUAAUACCCCGCUGUUCUGACGGUACCCAAAGAAUAAGCACCGGCUAACUUCGUG
RNAcentral lists this ribosomal RNA (492 nucleotides) under uncultured bacterium. Its description in RNAcentral is "partial 16S ribosomal RNA". It matches the Rfam family "Bacterial small subunit ribosomal RNA", at positions 29 to 507 of the family's 1533-position model. The record is from RNAcentral.